UCCAGACUCCUACGGGAGGCAGCAGUGGGGAAUAUUGGGCAAUGGGCGAAAGCCUGACCCAGCAACGCCGCGUGAAGGAAGAAGGCUUUCGGGUUGUAAACUUCUUUUGACAGGGAAGAGCAGAAGACGGUACCUGUCGAAUAAGCCACGGCUAACUACGUGCCAGCAGCCGCGGUAAUACGGAGGAUGCGAGCGUUAUCCGGAUUUAUUGGGUUUAAAGGGUGCGUAGGCGGAUUUUUAAGUCAGCGGUAAAAUGUCCGGGCUCAACCCGGGCCGGCCGUUGAAACUGGGGAUCUUGAGUGGGCGAGAAGUAUGCGGAAUGCGUGGUGUAGCGGUGAAAUGCAUAGAUAUCACGCAGAACUCCGAUUGCGAAGGCAGCAUACCGGCGCCCGACUGACGCUGAGGCACGAAAGCGUGGGGAUCGAACAGGAUUAGAUACCCGAGUA
This 446-nucleotide ribosomal RNA is filed under the name uncultured bacterium. RNAcentral describes it as "bacterial SSU rRNA". It matches the Rfam family "Bacterial small subunit ribosomal RNA", at positions 330 to 792 of the family's 1533-position model. The record is from RNAcentral.